GAACUGAGUUCUUCUUCGGAAGACUAUCUCCCAUGUAACUUCUAGAGUGCUAUAUACUACGUCCUUGCUCGUUGAGACUUGAGAAUAAGAUGGUAGCUGUACCACAGCGUGCUUUCGGUGUGGGAGCGGUCCACCAGCAUGAGCUUUUGUGUUUUAGUAUGUUUCAUGUUAUGAAUAUUCCGAGUGCCCGUAUUUGUGGUGAUUGGGUUAAUUUUGUAGCACUCAUGAUGCAUGAAUGUCAGCUAUUUGUUACUACUACUACUACCACUUCUACUUAAUUUGGCCUUUAUUUGAAUGGAUUGUGUGUGUGAGUGCCACAUAACGAAGCGAGGAACGGUCAGAUCUUGAUCGGUUGGUGCAUGCCCUGGCCACAUGAGCUCUCCAGACCAAGUAGAUAUUCCACUUUCAAAUGGCGUAGGUAGUCAUGACAUCCCAUAAAUGGCUUAAUGGUACGGUUUAUUUUUAUAUUUCAGUAAAAAACAAAAUGAAGAAAAAGAAACUGCAAGACGGAACGUAGUCUGAAUUCGUAUGGGACUGUCUAAGAUGGACGCAACCAUGCAACAAGGACAGGAAGUAAUUUUUCCUAAAUCUCGAGCUCACUUCUUAUUUUUCAGAAGAGAAAAUUAGAUCGGGUCUGAUCACUUUCAUUGAGAUAAUGAAACAAGGAAAGUAGAAAUUAGGAAAAAAACUGAAGAGAACCAGAAGUCGGAAGACGGAAUACUAGCCGCGAUGAGGGGUCGACAUCCGACUGGAAGCAAUGAACCUCUCGGUUGCUGAAAGCAAAAAAAUACAAAAUACGAGGAAUUGCCGCCAAGUAUUAUCUUCUCGCUCCAUUAAACUAUUGCAUGGAGAGGCUCAAGUAGGCCCGGCUGCAACAUUAGAAUAAUAAAAACCGAGGUGGGAAGCAAUCCUCGAAUUCGACGUCGUUCUUCUGGUGACAAGGAAAUGAUGAGCACAUUGGAAUGGCAAGGUUUCACCAACGUUGGUUUUCAUAAACAAUGGAUCCCCACAAAAAUCCUUAUUACUGCUUACCUUUUCAUGUCUCUGUUUAGCUUAAGCCACCUUACUUCAACUGGUUGCUAUUCGUUUAUAACGCGAGACAUCCUAGCUAACCCUUAAUUAUGUAACCUAACAAAGGUAAAUCAUAGGUCUUCAAAACUGUCGUCAUUGUCAGCGCAAUGUAACUGGCUUCUGUCCUCUCUCUCUCGCCCUGAGAAAUUUGAGCAAGCCGGAAAGACGUUCCAAAACCAGCAAGAGAGACUCGGGCACUGAACCCAUCCAGUAUGGGCGGUGCACAAGGCCCAAUUGGCCGCUUCUUCGUUUGGAUUUAUUGUUCAGCAUCCCUCUGCUAUGGUACCCAAAACAAAGAACAAAAAAAAGAACAAAAAAUUACAUGUAAAUGUAACACGUCGACCUGGUGACUCCGUGGCACAUUUAGUGGCAUUCCUUGCUCUCUCUUCUGGUUCUUUCUCCUCCUCCAUAUAUAAUUAACUUCUU
RNAcentral lists this long non-coding RNA (1497 nucleotides) under Phoenix dactylifera (date palm). RNAcentral's name for it is "long non-coding RNA (PDAC_LNC013198)". Lineage: Eukaryota; Viridiplantae; Streptophyta; Magnoliopsida; Arecales; Arecaceae. The record is from RNAcentral.